This 776-nucleotide ribosomal RNA is filed under the name uncultured Neocallimastigales. RNAcentral's name for it is "partial large subunit ribosomal RNA". It matches the Rfam family "Eukaryotic large subunit ribosomal RNA", at positions 20 to 605 of the family's 3401-position model. Lineage: Eukaryota; Fungi; Neocallimastigomycota; Neocallimastigomycetes; Neocallimastigales. The record is from RNAcentral.
CAUCACUACGCUAGAUGCAUAUCAAUAAGCGGAGGAAAAGAAACUAACAAGGAUUCCCCUAGUAACGGCGAGUGAAGCGGGAAGAGCUCAAAUUUGAAAUCUUAAAGGGUUUCCCUUUACGAAUUGUAGUUUAAAGAAGUGUUUUCUGUUGGAGUUUCGGUAAAAGUUCUUUGGAAUAGGACAUCAUAGAGGGUGAGAAUCCCGUAUUUGACCGUUACUUUCCAGCUGUGUGAUACACUUUCAAAGAGUCGGAUUGUUUGGGAAUGCAGUCAAAAAUGGGUGGUAAAUUUCAUCUAAAGCUAAAUAUUGGCGAGAGACCGAUAGCGAACAAGUACCGUGAGGGAAAGAUGAAAAGAACAUUGAAAAGAGAGUUAAACAGUACGUGAAAUUGUCAAAAGGGAAGCGUUUGACACCAGUGUUGUUUAGUUGAAAAUCAAUUCAAUAAUUUUUGAUUUUAAGUAGUAUUGACUUCAUCAGCUUGCUGCUUUCUUUUCGGAAAUUAUUGAAUGCACUUUUCAGUUAACAAGUCAACAUCAAUUUCUUUUGUUGUAAAAGGGUAAGAGGAAGGUGGCUUACGCUUCGGCGUAAGUGUUUAUAGCCUUUUACCUCUGCAAUCGGAGAGAUUGAGGACAGCAGCGUAGACUCCUUCGGGGUUAGAUACACUUGUGCUAAGCUAUAGCCUUGUAUAGACAACUUGUUGACUAUGCUCAGUCAUGUAGCUUACUCGCUUGUGCUAUUUUACCUACGCUUAGGAUGUUGACACACGCGCGUGCUCG